GGGCGGGUUUAUACCCCGAAGAGCGGGUGGUGUAUAAAGAGAGCGGUCCCAGGAGCGGCUCUGCCCCCGGGAUGGGGGCUGGCGGGAGGGGACAACAAGGGUCGUUAUCUGGGGUGAUGCUACCGGGGUGAUGCCAAACGUGUGCCCGCAAAAGCGAAGCGCAGGAGCCCUCCCUCUCCGAAGGACGAGCCACCGCGGGGCAGGGACGCUGGAAAGUAGCUGGAAAAUAAUUGUAAUAACUCAGCAAACUCCCAGCGUCCACUGCACUGCUGCGUUGUAGCCACAGGGACACGCGUGGAGAGGAGGCUCAGGAAGAGGCAGGAGCACAGGGCAGGAACCUGCCCUUGGGAAGCAGCCGGCAGUGCAGUGGGAAACAGUCGGUAACUCCACCCAGUCACUAGUUCUACUUGGUGGGCAUCAGGCAGCAUAACGUAGAGGGGAGAAGAGGACCAAGAAGAACAAGUAUGCACUUCCUGGUGGUGCAUGGGUGAGACCAGAGAUGCUCCUCACUCCAGAUCACUGCCCCUGAGCAAGCAGCUGAAGGUGCAGUGCAGGUGGGUCUGAGCCUGAAACAUUGAUGUGGCAUUUAAUCUUGAAAAUGUGCAAUGUGCUGUUUGUUCCACAGCUGGGUGGGCAGUUGAACAGUCCUAUAUUAGAGCCUCAGGAGGCCUUGCAGCAUCUCCCAGACUGUGCCCUGUGGCCUUUUAGGUCAGCAGCAGCAUCCAUCAGUGGAUGCCUUCUGCAGGAAGCCAGCCUGGCUUUACUGCCCAGCACUGCCUCACAGAGGGACAAUAUUACAUCAUUAUAUAUCAUACAAUAUCAUAUUGCCAAGACCUGGCAACCAAAGCCUCCUACAACUUAAUGACCACUGGGUACAGCAAUAUUUGUGAAGUGGUUUUUGCCUGUACAUAAAGCAGCGAGGUGACCAUCACAUUUUAGCAAGCCCAGUGACAGAAGCAAACGCUGAUUUCAGCACCAGAAGUGAUUCCAUUAAAUGUGGUCCUGAAGCUCAAAGCCCACGCGAUAGGAGGGAUCAUGCCAACCACAUCUUUUCACUCACCAUUCAUGCUACGUGUGCCCCAGGGCUCAGCCGGGGUUGGUCCUAGUUCGGACAGUGGCUGUGGUUUAGGGAGCACUGAGCGGCGCGGUGGGACCGCUGUGACUUUGGGAGUUCUCCCUGUGGGCCCAUCACGGUGCUGGCUUUGGAGGGAGCUCUGUGGAGGCCCUCAGGCCCGUUGGGGUCCACCCCUUGGUCUUCUUAACCCACAGGAACCCAAACACCUGUGUGGGGUGGCACCCGGGGGAAUGCCUGGUGACCACAGAGACCAGCACCUGCUAAAGCUGCAGUGCCUGGAGCCUUUUGGUGCAAGGAUGUUACUGAAUCAGCUUUACUUUGUAUGAGGUGCGCCAGGGCUAAAGCUUGCGUACGUGCCACAGUUUUGCUGUUUCCCAGCA
RNAcentral lists this long non-coding RNA (1455 nucleotides) under Strigops habroptila (Kakapo). RNAcentral describes it as "lncRNA (ENSSHBG00005007200.1)". Lineage: Eukaryota; Metazoa; Chordata; Aves; Psittaciformes; Psittacidae. The record is from RNAcentral.